CCCGUAUAGUAUGAAGAUACAUGGCCGUAACUUUUCAAAUGAGGUAAACGCCAUACGAUGGGACAGAUGGUACAGAUAUGUCACUGCUAAGACAUAAACAUUUGGAAAGUGGAAAUUAUCAUGUGUGAAGUCGUCCAACUGAGCAGAACUUCUAUAUUUAACAAUAUCAAAUUAUGUCAGGUUCAUUGAUAUGUUUUAGAUAUAAACACUCAUGAAAUCGGAUAUCUUUAAGUUAAAUUAAAGAACUUUGCCUUACGCUAUUCGAACAGGAUUGCACAUUUUACAGCAAAUUUAUAUGAUUAGUAGCAAUGCUACAUCUACAUCUAACUGACACUGCUUGUUGCAAUUAUAUCUUCACAAUAUUUCUGAAGCCAUCUGUAUCUGUUGAUAAUAUUGAUAUUUUGUACAGCUAAUAUAAUGAAACGUAA
Molecule: long non-coding RNA, 428 nt
Filed under: Mytilus galloprovincialis (Mediterranean mussel)
Lineage: Eukaryota; Metazoa; Mollusca; Bivalvia; Mytilida; Mytilidae
Source: RNAcentral